RNAcentral lists this ribosomal RNA (497 nucleotides) under uncultured bacterium. Its description in RNAcentral is "partial 16S ribosomal RNA". It matches the Rfam family "Bacterial small subunit ribosomal RNA", at positions 28 to 507 of the family's 1533-position model. The record is from RNAcentral.
GAUGAACGCUGGCGGCGUGCCUAAUACAUGCAAGUCGAGCGAACGGACGAGAAGCUUGCUUCUCUGAUGUUAGCGGCGGACGGGUGAGUAACACGUGGAUAACCUACCUAUAAGACUGGGAUAACUUCGGGAAACCGGAGCUAAUACCGGAUGAUAGUUUUAACCGCAUGGUUCAAAAGUGAAAGACGGUCUUGCUGUCACUUAUAGAUGUAUCCGCGCUGCAUUAGCUAGUUGGUAAGGUAACGGCUUACCAAGGCAACGAUGCAUAGCCGACCUGAGAGGGUGAUCGGCCACACUGGAACUGAGACACGGUCCAGACUCCUACGGGAGGCAGCAGUAGGGAAUCUUCCGCAAUGGGCGAAAGCCUGACGGAGCAACGCCGCGUGAGUGAUGAAGGUCUUCGGAUCGUAAAACUCUGUUAUUAGGGAAGAACAUAUGUGUAAGUAACUGUGCACAUCUUGACGGUACCUAAUCAGAAAGCCACGGCUAACUACGUG